Molecule: long non-coding RNA, 401 nt
Filed under: Vitis vinifera (wine grape)
Lineage: Eukaryota; Viridiplantae; Streptophyta; Magnoliopsida; Vitales; Vitaceae
Description: long non-coding RNA (VVIN_LNC006397)
Source: RNAcentral
UUCCUAUUGCGCAGCCGUUGUUCUUCUUCGAGCCAUUUUCCCGUCCAGAAAAGCCGAAGACCCACCGCGAUAUGUUCGAUUUAGAUCGAGCGGUUGCCGAUUUUCACCCUGCGAUUGCCGGUAGCGUUCACAGCGACUCCGACUCAUCCUCCGUGGUUGAUUUCAAUUACCAUGACCGCAGUACCAGGCUGCUCAAUCUCGAUCUCAACCAUCCUCCAGCGGAAGUCGCUUGAUUUCAUCACUUUUACACCGUCCACGGCGACGAUAAUCGGAUCUCUAAAAUUUUCUUUUCCAUUUGAAUUGAAUUUCUCCUUUCCUUUAUUGCGUCUCGAAUCGAAACAGAUGACGAAGCAAUCUAGAGAGAAAGCAGCAGCCACGUUUGUAUUGAUGUGCUGAUCGAU